ACGCUGGCGGCAGGCCUAACACAUGCAAGUCGAGCGGCAGCGGGAAGUAGUUUACUACUUUGCCGGCGAGCGGCGGACGGGUGAGUAAUGUCUGGGGAUCUGCCUGAUGGAGGGGGAUAACUACUGGAAACGGUGGCUAAUACCGCAUGACCUCGCAAGAGCAAAGUGGGGGACCU
RNAcentral lists this ribosomal RNA (176 nucleotides) under Yersinia pestis Pestoides A. Its description in RNAcentral is "partial 16S ribosomal RNA". It matches the Rfam family "Bacterial small subunit ribosomal RNA", at positions 33 to 213 of the family's 1533-position model. Lineage: Bacteria; Pseudomonadati; Pseudomonadota; Gammaproteobacteria; Enterobacterales; Yersiniaceae. The record is from RNAcentral.